This 200-nucleotide ribosomal RNA is filed under the name uncultured bacterium. Its description in RNAcentral is "partial 16S ribosomal RNA". It matches the Rfam family "Bacterial small subunit ribosomal RNA", at positions 524 to 723 of the family's 1533-position model. The record is from RNAcentral.
GACGGAGGGGGCUAGCGUUGUUCGGAAUUACUGGGCGUAAAGAGCACGUAGGCGGCUUAACCAGUCAGGCGUGAAAGCCCCAGGCUUAACCUGGGAACUGCGCUUGAUACUAUUAAGCUUGAGUUCGGGAGAGGAAAGUGGAAUUUCUAGUGUAGAGGUGGAAUUCGUAGAUAUUAGAAGGAACACCAGAGGCGAAGGCG